AAUUACAGAAGGAAGUUUUCGGAUGGAAUUUUGUAAUUUUAGUGGCGGACGGGUGAGUAACACGUGGGUAACCUGCCCUGUACCGGGGGAUAACAGUUGGAAACGGCUGUUAAUACCGCAUAAGCGCACAGCUUCGCAUGAAGCAGUGUGAAAAACUCCGGUGGUACAGGAUGGACCCGCGUCUGAUUAGCUUGUUGGCGGGGUAACAGCCCACCAAGGCGACGAUCAGUAGCCGGCCUGAGAGGGUGAACGGCCACAUUGGGACUGAGACACGGCCCAGACUCCUACGGGAGGCAGCAGUGGGGAAUAUUGGGCAAUGGGCGAAAGCCUGACCCAGCAACGCCGCGUGAAGGAUGAAGGUCUUCGGAUUGUAAACUUCUUUGAUUGGGGAAGAAUAAAAUGACCUACCCAAAGAACAAGCCACGGCUAACUACGUGCCAGCAGCCGCGGUAAUACGUAGGGGGCAAGCGUUAUCCGGAUUUACUGGGUGUAAAGGG
Molecule: ribosomal RNA, 497 nt
Filed under: uncultured bacterium
Lineage: Bacteria
Description: bacterial SSU rRNA
Rfam family: Bacterial small subunit ribosomal RNA
Source: RNAcentral